GAUUUUUAUUAUUCAGCUUAUUUUUAUUAUUCAGCUCCAAUUUUUCAUUAGCCAGAGGUGACUAGCGCGGCCAUGUGGACCGGAAGUCAUUGAAAAUUCACUUUUCAGCACACGUUCAAAAUGGGGGAAAAUUAUGUUGGUGAUAACUUGAAUUUGAGAGAAAUGGUGUAUAAAAAACAGUGUUCUGUGGAGCAACUACUUAUACAGCAGACCAAUAAUAACUUGUUAGAUAUACCUACAGUCUUGGUGGUGAUCAAUGGUGUUUGGAAGUUGGUAAUUAAACGUUUUAGUUCUAAGUUUAUACUGCCUAAUAACAUAUAUUCCAAUAGCAAAGCAUACGUGGGCAAAGUUUUGGUAGUUUUAGACACUAUCCAUUCAUUCCGGGGGGAGGGGUUAUUUUUAAC
Non-coding RNA from Paramuricea clavata, 404 nucleotides. The record is from the annotation of a GenBank genome assembly. Lineage: Eukaryota; Metazoa; Cnidaria; Anthozoa; Malacalcyonacea; Plexauridae.